This 225-nucleotide ribosomal RNA is filed under the name Campylobacter coli. RNAcentral describes it as "partial 23S ribosomal RNA". It matches the Rfam family "Bacterial large subunit ribosomal RNA", at positions 1994 to 2218 of the family's 2925-position model. The record is from RNAcentral. Lineage: Bacteria; Pseudomonadati; Campylobacterota; Epsilonproteobacteria; Campylobacterales; Campylobacteraceae.
GAAUGGCGUAACGAGAUGGGAGCUGUCUCAAAGAGGGAUCCAGUGAAAUUGUAGUGGAGGUGAAAAUUCCUCCUACCCGCGGCAAGACGGAGAGACCCCGUGGACCUUUACUACAGCUUGACACUGCUAUUUGGAUAAGAAUGUGCAGGAUAGGUGGGAGGCUUUGAGUAUAUGACGCCAGUUGGAUAUGAGCCAUUGUUGAGAUACCACUCUUUCUUAUUUGGG